UACGGGGGGGGUAAGCGUUGUUCGGAAUUACUGGGCGUAAAGGGCUCGUAGGCGGCCAACUAAGUCAUACGUGAAAUCCCUCAGCUUAACUGGGGAACUGCGUGUGAUACUGGAUGGCUUGGAUUUGGGAGAGGGAUGCGGAAUUCCAGGUGUAGCGGUGAAAUGCGUAGAUAUCGGGAGGAACACCAGUGGCGAAGGCGGCUGUCUGGGCCAGUUCUGACGCUGAGGCGCGAAAGCGUGGGGAGCAAACAGG
This 253-nucleotide ribosomal RNA is filed under the name uncultured bacterium. RNAcentral describes it as "partial 16S ribosomal RNA". It matches the Rfam family "Bacterial small subunit ribosomal RNA", at positions 524 to 776 of the family's 1533-position model. The record is from RNAcentral.